GGUGUCUGGAACUCUAUUGGAGGGAUGCGACACCAUUCUUCCACGAGAAAUUCCAUAAUUUGGUGUUUUUUUAUGGUGGUUUUACCCUGUGUCUGUAACGGCAUUCUUCCUCCUCUUCUGAGGAGGAGUAGCGAGAAGGAUCGGAGGACCAAUGCGCAGCGUGAGAAGUGGCAGUGAUUUCAUUACAAAAUGGUUUCUGGUUCAUCUUUCCAAGAGGAGGAUUUCUUCUGUCCCUGUGUGCCGUGACAUCUUCAAGGAUCCUGUCAUCCUGCCGUUUUGCCACAGGGGUUUCCUGUAAACCUGUCUGUGGGAAUACUGGAAACAAAGGGGAUAUCGGGAACAGAAGAAGUGUUUCCAAAAAUGUCAAUAUUAAGAUGUCAGAGAGCUUCAUAAACAGAUAUGGGAAGAUCUGAGGUGCUAAGUACUCUGUACAGUGACAAACACAAGCUCUAACAAAACCUAUUAAUUAUACAUGUGUAAAUUAAAUAGAUUAAUAAUCAGAUUAUUUUUGUUUCAACAAGACAAACUCAAGCUCUUCUGUCUGGUGGAUAAACAGCCCACCUGUUGGGUGUGUCGAGAUUAAAGAAACAUAAAAAAUCAUGACUGCAAACCACUAUUUAUAUAUUUAUACUGAAAGAAAAGUGAUAGGGAAAACAAUAUGUUGGAACUCCAGGGGCUGAUAUGAAGACCACACAAAACAAAAUACAUAACUACAGAGAUAAAUAAGGUUAAAACUGAUAACAAAACCUACUAAUUAUACAUGUAUAAAUGAAUAGAUCAACAAUCAGGAUUAAAAUAUACAUACAAUACACACAUAUGUUGUGGCAGACAAGGGGGUUGGGGUCAAAACGUUGACACAGAUCAGACACGGACAGAGUAGCUCAGUUUCAAAGGUGUUUAUUCAAAUAAUAGUCCAAUAGAAAAGAAUUAGGUCUCCCCCCAAGAGACCCUCUCCAGGAGACCGUCUACUGGGCUCUGGGUCUUACUGUAUCCCCCAAGAGACCCUCUCCAGGAUACCGUCUACUGGGCUCUGGGUCUUACUGUAUCCCCCAAGAGACCCUCUCCAGGAU
Oncorhynchus tshawytscha (Chinook salmon) is the source of this 1070-nucleotide long non-coding RNA. NCBI's taxonomy places the organism in Eukaryota, Metazoa, Chordata, Actinopteri, Salmoniformes, Salmonidae. The record is from Ensembl.